This 466-nucleotide ribosomal RNA is filed under the name Vreelandella stevensii. RNAcentral describes it as "partial 16S ribosomal RNA". It matches the Rfam family "Bacterial small subunit ribosomal RNA", at positions 338 to 795 of the family's 1533-position model. Lineage: Bacteria; Pseudomonadati; Pseudomonadota; Gammaproteobacteria; Oceanospirillales; Halomonadaceae. The record is from RNAcentral.
CCUACGGGGGGCUGCAGUGGGGAAUAUUGGACAAUGGGCGAAAGCCUGAUCCAGCCAUGCCGCGUGUGUGAAGAAGGCCUUCGGGUUGUAAAGCACUUUCAGUGGGGAAGAAAGCCUUGGGGCUAAUACCCUCGAGGAAGGACAUCACCCACAGAAGAAGCACCGGCUAACUCCGUGCCAGCAGCCGCGGUAAUACGGAGGGUGCGAGCGUUAAUCGGAAUUACUGGGCGUAAAGCGCGCGUAGGCGGUCUGAUAAGCCGGUUGUGAAAGCCCCGGGCUCAACCUGGGAACGGCAUCCGGAACUGUCAGGCUAGAGUGCAGGAGAGGAAGGUAGAAUUCCCGGUGUAGCGGUGAAAUGCGUAGAGAUCGGGAGGAAUACCAGUGGCGAAGGCGGCCUUCUGGACUGACACUGACGCUGAGGUGCGAAAGCGUGGGUAGCAAACAGGAUUAGAUACCCCUGGUAGUC